GGGCCCUUAGCUCAAUUGGUAGAGCGCCGCCUUUGCAAGGCGGAGGUCACUGGUUCGAUUCCGGUAGGGUCCA
This 73-nucleotide transfer RNA is filed under the name Nitriliruptorales bacterium. It matches the Rfam family "tRNA". Rfam says of the family: Transfer RNA (tRNA) molecules are approximately 80 nucleotides in length. Their secondary structure includes four short double-helical elements and three loops (D, anti-codon, and T loops). Further hydrogen bonds mediate the characteristic L-shaped molecular structure. tRNAs have two regions of fundamental functional importance: the anti-codon, which is responsible for specific mRNA codon recognition, and the 3' end, to which the tRNAs corresponding amino acid is attached (by aminoacyl-tRNA synthetases). tRNAs cope with the degeneracy of the genetic code in two manners: having more than one tRNA (with a specific anti-codon) for a particular amino acid; and 'wobble' base-pairing, i.e. permitting non-standard base-pairing at the 3rd anti-codon position. The record is from Rfam by way of RNAcentral. Lineage: Bacteria; Bacillati; Actinomycetota; Nitriliruptoria; Nitriliruptorales.